CCAACCCCUGUGAACAUACCAUUUGUUGCCUCGGCGGUGCCUGCUUCGGCAGCCCGCCAGAGGACCCAAACCCUUGAUUUUAUACAGUAUCUUCUGAGUAAAUGAUUAAAUAAAUCAAAACUUUCAACAACGGAUCUCUUGGUUCUGGCAUCGAUGAAGAACGCAGCGAAAUGCGAUAAGUAAUGUGAAUUGCAGAAUUCAGUGAAUCAUCGAAUCUUUGAACGCACAUUGCGCCCGCCAGUAUUCUGGCGGGCAUGCCUGUUCGAGCGUCAUUUCAACCCUCAAGCCCCCGGGCUUGGUGUUGGAGAUCGGCGUGCCCUCCGGGGCGCGCCGGCUCCCAAAUAUAGUGGCGGUCUCGCUGUAGCUUCCUCUGCGUAGUAGCACACCUCGCACUGGAAAACAGCGUGGCCACGCCGUUAAACCCCCCACUUCUGAAAGGUUGACCUCGGAUCAGGUAGGAAUACCCGCUGAACUUAAGCAUAUCAAUAGGC
This 491-nucleotide ribosomal RNA is filed under the name Ilyonectria destructans. Its description in RNAcentral is "eukaryotic LSU rRNA". The stretch from base 119 to 272 matches the Rfam family "5.8S ribosomal RNA". The record is from RNAcentral. Lineage: Eukaryota; Fungi; Ascomycota; Sordariomycetes; Hypocreales; Nectriaceae.